AGUGAACGCUGGCGGCAGGCCUAACACAUGCAAGUCGAGCGGCAGCGGGUCCUUCGGGAUGCCGGCGAGCGGCGGACGGGUGGGGAAUGCAUCGGAAUCUGCCCUGUCGUGGGGGAUAACCUAGGGAAACUUAGGCUAAUACCGCAUACGACCCACGGGUGAAAGCGGGGGAUCGCAAGACCUCGCGCGAUAGGAUGAGCCGAUGUCCGAUUAGCUAGUUGGCGGGGUAAAGGCCCACCAAGGCGACGAUCGGUAGCUGGUCUGAGAGGAUGAUCAGCCACACUGGGACUGAGACACGGCCCAGACUCCUACGGGAGGCAGCAGUGGGGAAUAUUGGACAAUGGGCACAAGCCUGAUCCAGCCAUGCCGCGUGGGUGAAGAAGGCCUUCGGGUUGUAAAGCCCUUUUGUCCGGGAAGAAAUCGUCUGGGCUAAUACCCCGGGCGGAUGACGGUACCGGAAGAAUAAGCACCGGCUAACUUCGUG
RNAcentral lists this ribosomal RNA (484 nucleotides) under uncultured bacterium. RNAcentral describes it as "partial 16S ribosomal RNA". It matches the Rfam family "Bacterial small subunit ribosomal RNA", at positions 30 to 507 of the family's 1533-position model. The record is from RNAcentral.